This 434-nucleotide ribosomal RNA is filed under the name uncultured bacterium. RNAcentral's name for it is "partial 16S ribosomal RNA". It matches the Rfam family "Bacterial small subunit ribosomal RNA", at positions 27 to 507 of the family's 1533-position model. The record is from RNAcentral.
GAACGAACGCUGGCGGCAUGCCUAACACAUGCAAGUCGAACGAGACCUUCGGGUCUAGUGGCGCACGGGUGCGUAACGCGUGGGAACCUGCCCUUAGGUUCGGAAUAACUCCCCGAAAGGGGUGCUAAUACCGGAUAAUGUCUUCGGACCAAAGAUUUAUCGCCUUUGGAUGGGCCCGCGUUGGAUUAGCUAGUUGGUAGGGUAAAAGCCUACCAAGGCGACGAUCCAUAGCUGGUCUGAGAGGAUGAUCAGCCACACUGGGACUGAGACACGGCCCAGACUUCUACGGGAGGCAGGCGUGGGGAAUAUUGGACAAUGGGCGAAAGCCUGAUCCAGCAAUGCCGCGUGAGUGAUGAAGGCCUUAGGGUUGUAAAGCUCUUUUACCCGGGAUGAUAAUGACAGUACCGGGAGAAUAAGCGCCGGCUAACUCCGUG